GAGUUUGAUCAUGGCUCAGAGCGAACGCUGGCGGCAGGCCUAACACAUGCAAGUCGAGCGCCGUAGCAAUACGGAGCGGCAGACGGGAGAGUAACACGUGGGAACGUACCCUUCAGUUCGGAACAACCCAGGGAAACUUGGGCUAAUACCGGAUACGUCCGUAAGGAGAAAGAUUUAUCGCUGAAGGAUCGGCCCGCGUCUGAUUAGCUAGUUGGUGGGGUAAUGGCUCGCCAAGGCGACGAUCAGUAGCUGGUCUGAGAGGAUGAUCAGCCUCACUGGGACUGAGACACGGCCCAGACUCCUACGGGAGGCAGCAGUGGGAAUAUUGGACAAUGGGCGCAAGCCUGAUCCAGCCAUGCCGCGUGGGUGAUGAAGGCCCUAGGGUUGUAAAGCCCUUUCGACGGGAAGAUAAUGACGGUACCCGUAGAAGAAGCCCCGG
This 439-nucleotide ribosomal RNA is filed under the name uncultured Alphaproteobacteria bacterium. Its description in RNAcentral is "bacterial SSU rRNA". It matches the Rfam family "Bacterial small subunit ribosomal RNA", at positions 9 to 496 of the family's 1533-position model. The record is from RNAcentral. Lineage: Bacteria; Pseudomonadati; Pseudomonadota; Alphaproteobacteria.